This 250-nucleotide ribosomal RNA is filed under the name uncultured bacterium. RNAcentral describes it as "partial 16S ribosomal RNA". It matches the Rfam family "Bacterial small subunit ribosomal RNA", at positions 525 to 775 of the family's 1533-position model. The record is from RNAcentral.
ACGUAGGGGGCGAGCGUUGUCCGGAUUCAUUGGGCGUAAAGGGCGCGCAGGCGGCCCGGCAAGCGGUGCCUCUAAGCCCGGGGCUCAACCCCGGGACGGGCGCCGAACUUCCGGGCUCGAGCGCGGUAGAGGAGGACGGAAUUCCCGGUGUAGCGGUGGAAUGCGCAGAUAUCGGGAGGAACACCGAUGGCGAAGGCAGUCCUCUGGGCCGUCGCUGACGCUGAGGCGCGAAAGCCGGGGGAGCGAACAG